Molecule: non-coding RNA, 73 nt
Organism: Aedes albopictus (Asian tiger mosquito)
Lineage: Eukaryota; Metazoa; Arthropoda; Insecta; Diptera; Culicidae
Source: Rfam
UGUUCUGCGGCUUAGUUGGUUGAAGCGCCGGACUAGUGGUACGGAGUCGUGAGUUCAAAUCCCACCAAAACAA